GGGCGGGCGGCGCGCAGUUGCGGCGCGUGCCGGGAUCCUGAGGUAGGCGUGUGGUCUGGGUCGGAGAGCUUCCUCGCCCUGGAGGUGGUGGAGGUGCAGAUACCAGCUGAAGCCAGAAGGACAUCUACCAAGAACAGAGUAACCAGGAGGAGAAUUCUGCCUAUUUAAUGCAUUCCGAAAUGGACCGUUUCCUUUUAGUUUAAAAAAUAUAUUUCAUCAUCUGGAAAAAAGUGGAACUCCUCUAUAAGUCUUAAUUUUGUGUUGUUUUUUCCGAAAUCUGUACCUGUCAACUCUCUCUGCCUUUUUAUUUGGCUAUAACAAGUUAUAGUACUGGAGGCAGGCUUGAAGUGGAUAUACACAGCACCUUUAACCCGGAAAUUAAUGUGACAACUUGGGGAUCCUUGCUCCAGUCGGUCAUGAUAGAUGAUCUACAGUUUCAUCUAUGGGGUCUGUUUUGCCAUAGUAUCUAGUUUUAUCUUAAAGCUGGAAUUGGGAAGGGAAACUGAGAAGCUUCAGAAGAAGUUAAGAAGGUUGGGCAGGCAGGGGUGGCUGUAGGUGUUAAGUGUCACUGUCCUUAUCAAAGUACCUGGAGAGCAUGAGAUCCAAGCUAUAAAUGGUGAAAAACCGUGGGAGUCAGAGUUCUGAGCCACUCAAAGAAGCAUGCACAGGGUAGUUGCUUUAUGUUAGAAAGGGGGCUGGAGACUGAAUGUAUGAGUUGUUUUUACUUUGAAUUGGGGGGGUGGUUAAUUGUAUGACAGAGAAGAUGUAGGAAUCAUAAGUAGUACUAACACUGGAAACAGCUAGAGCUGGGGUGGAGCUCGGAAACUGUGAAACAUCCUGCUGAGCAUGGAUCCAGAACUUCCCUGAGGGUUCCGCUUCUGCUGUACAGGGUCUAGGUUGUAAAUUAACAAGCCCCAGGGCAUCUGCACAUGCUAAGUGUGAUAGAGAGGGAUUGGAGUUGUCUGCUGGUGUACCUGUGGGAAACAGCUGCUAUCCUUGAGGAAGAAAAGGUGGAGAAGGAAAGUGGCUAUCUGUCUGCCAGUGACAACACAUGCUGUGAAGUCUUGCUCUUCUCAUUUCUGACGCUGUGGUUCUUAGAUCCAUCCUAAACCUGACAGCCUCAUUGAGGUUCACAGAGCGUCUCCUAUGUGACUGUAAGACUGAAAUUAUGAUCAGAGUGGAAUCCAUUCCUGCCAGAGUAAAACCAUGAAAGGAAAUCAUAGUAUUCAUUAUCUGCUUAUUAUUAUUAUUAUUAUCAUUAUUUUUGGUGAGGAAGAUUGGCCCUGAGCUAACAUCUGUGCCAGUCCUCAUCUAUUUUGUAUAUGGCAUUCCGCCACAGCACGGCUUGACCAGCUGUGUGUAGGUCCACACCCGAAACCCGUGAACCCCAGGCCGCUGAAGGAGUGUGCUAACAUAACCACGAUGCCACCCGGCCCACCCCUCUGCUUAUUAUUUUUAAUAGAUUGUGGGCUUCUAUGUUUCUUAUUUGGUGUAUGGCAAGUUGAUAAAUGACCCUUUGUUAAUACCCUUUAGUGUUCCUAUUUCAUUGUGAAAAAUCUGUUAUAAGUAAUGUUUUUUAAAAAUUAAAAUACAUGCAAAAAUGUUUUAAGGCAGCAUCUCCCAGUCUUUUUUAUCCCACAGAAUACUUAUAAUGUUUUCUAUCGGUUACCUGCCUUGAAGUAGAGGGAUUUACCUAUUUCCAUUACUUAAAAUAGAUGAGAGUCUUUGACAGAGGUAUAAAGAAAGGGGAGAAUUAUGAAAAGGGAAAAAAGAUAUAGAUGACAGAUUAAAAAGAAAUUUGGUAGUUUUGGCAAGGGAGUUAGGAGUACAAUCUUUGAUAAAAAUCUUGGUUGCUUAGUAUUAGAGCUUUGUGAUGAGAUGCAAUGUCCUGAGUGAGAACUGUUCUCAAGUACUUAAGAACACUAACACAAAAUUACCUCCUCUUUCAACACCCACAGUGACCUGGAACAUUUUCAACCUUUGAGAACUAUCACUUUUUCAAAGUCCAGCCUCAUGGUCUUUGUAAAAUGUUUUCCUGAUUAGCUCCUCCUCUAAGAAAUUUCCAGCACUUUUUCUUACAUUUAAUAAAUAUGAUUAUUAUA
Non-coding RNA from Equus caballus (horse), 2102 nucleotides. The record is from RefSeq and is a predicted model, not a curated record. NCBI's taxonomy places the organism in Eukaryota, Metazoa, Chordata, Mammalia, Perissodactyla, Equidae.